This 287-nucleotide ribosomal RNA is filed under the name uncultured bacterium. RNAcentral's name for it is "partial 16S ribosomal RNA". It matches the Rfam family "Bacterial small subunit ribosomal RNA", at positions 335 to 639 of the family's 1533-position model. The record is from RNAcentral.
CUUCCUACGGGAGGCAGCAGUGGGGAAUAUUGCACAAUGGGGGAAACCCUGAUGCAGCGACGCCGCGUGAGCGCUGAAGUAUUUCGGUAUGUAAAGCUCUAUCAGCAGGGAAGAAAAUGACGGUACCUGACUAAGAAGCCCCGGCUAACUACGUGCCAGCAGCCGCGGUAAUACGUAGGGGGCAAGCGUUAUCCGGAUUUACUGGGUGUAAAGGGAGCGUAGACGGCGAUGCAAGCCAGAUGUGAAAGCCUGGGGCUCAACCCCGGGACUGCAUUUGGAACUGUAUA